GAUGAACGCUGGCGGCGUGCUUAACACAUGCAAGUCGAACGGAACUACUCCAAUGAGAGUCUUCGGACGGGUGUUGGUUUAGUUUAGUGGCGGACGGGUGAGUAACGCGUGGGUAACCUGCCCUAUACAGGGGGAUAACAGUUGGAAACUACUGUUAAUACCUCAUUAGCGCACAGGAGCGCAUGCUCCGGUGUGAAAAACUCCGGUGGUAUAGGAUGGACCCGCGUCUGAUUAGCUGGUUGGCGGGGUAACGGCACACCAAGGCGACGAUCAGUAGCCGGGAGGGGAGGGGGAAAGGCAACGUUGGAGAUGCGACCCGGCCCAAAAUCCUACGGGAGGCAGCAGUGGGGAAUAGUACACAAUGGGGGAAAACGUGAUGAAGCGACGCCGGGUGAGAGAAGAAGUAGGUCGGAAUGUAAAGCUCCAUGAGCAGGGAAGAAAAUGACGGUACCGGACUAAGAAGCACCGGCUAACUACGUG
Molecule: ribosomal RNA, 480 nt
Filed under: uncultured bacterium
Lineage: Bacteria
Description: partial 16S ribosomal RNA
Rfam family: Bacterial small subunit ribosomal RNA
Source: RNAcentral